ACGCUGGCGGCAGGCUUAACACAUGCAAGUCGAGCGGAGAUGAGGUGCUUGCACCUUAUCUUAGCGGCGGACGGGUGAGUAAUACUUAGGAAUCUGCCUAUUAGUGGGGGACAACAUCUCGAAAGGGAUGCUAAUACCGCAUACGCCCUACGGGGGAAAGCAGGGGAUCACUUGUGACCUUGCGCUAAUAGAUGAGCCUAAGUCAGAUUAGCUAGUUGGUGGGGUAAAGGCCUACCAAGGCGACGAUCUGUAACGGGUCUGAGAGGAUGAUCCGUCACACUGGGACUGAGACACGGCCCAGACUCCUACGGGAGGCAGCAGUGGGGAAUAUUGGACAAUGGGGGGAACCCUGAUCCAGCCAUGCCGCGUGUGUGAAGAAGGCCUUUUGGUUGUAAAGCACUUUAAGCGAGGAGGAGGCUACUUAGAUUAAUACUCUAAGAUAGUGGACGUUACUCGCAGAAUAAGCACCGGCUAACUCUGUGCCAGCAGCCGCGGUAAUACAGAGGGUGCAAGCGUUAAUCGGAUUUACUGGGCGUAAAGGGUACGUAGGUGGUCUUUUAAGUCGGAUGUGAAAUCCCUGAGCUUAACUUAGGAAUUGCAUUCGAUACUGAGAGACUAGAGUAUGGGAGAGGAUGGUAGAAUUCCAGGUGUAGCGGUGAAAUGCGUAGAGAUCUGGAGGAAUACCGAUGGCGAAGGCAGCCAUCUGGCCUAAUACUGACACUGAGGUACGAAAGCAUGGGGAGCAAACA
RNAcentral lists this ribosomal RNA (749 nucleotides) under uncultured Acinetobacter sp. RNAcentral's name for it is "bacterial SSU rRNA". It matches the Rfam family "Bacterial small subunit ribosomal RNA", at positions 33 to 774 of the family's 1533-position model. Lineage: Bacteria; Pseudomonadati; Pseudomonadota; Gammaproteobacteria; Moraxellales; Moraxellaceae. The record is from RNAcentral.